AAUGUACUUAGAGCUAGCCCGGAUUU
RNAcentral lists this non-coding RNA (26 nucleotides) under Cricetulus griseus (Chinese hamster). Lineage: Eukaryota; Metazoa; Chordata; Mammalia; Rodentia; Cricetidae. The record is from RNAcentral.